CAAUGUAUAGCCGAAAAGCACCUGAGGACGUGAAGAAGGAAUUGAUAAAAUUAAAAGUGAAUUAUUACAUUCUGGAAGAGUCAUGGUGCAUAAGAAGAUCCAAGCCUGGGUGCAGCAUGCCUGAAAUCUGGGAUGUGGAGGAUCCGGACAACGCUGGGAAAACACCCCUGUGUAACAUCUUGGUGAAGGAUUCCAAGCCUCACUUUACCACAGUGUUCCAGAACAGUGUUUACAAAGUCCUAGAAGUUAUCAGACAGUGACUGCACGGGCACCUGCCAGAGACCACAUCAGCAGAUUAACCUCAGUGUGGAUUGUCCUUGAGACCUGAACCCUCAGGGAUGGCUUCCGGUGCCUACUCCUGGCAGCCUCGGAAGAGCCCUUCUCUUUCUGCCUUCUUCCCAGAGCCCAAGGACAAGCUUGUCUGGGGGCAUUGGUCACCUGCAAAGACAGACAGCACUUGCAACUGAGGAGCGAGGCCUCAGUGAGGAGCCGGCCUCACCAGCCAGGGUCCCCUCCCUGAAGCUGCCCGGGGACGGCCGUUCCCACUGUUGCAGACUGGCCAAGCUUCCUCAUCUGACGUUUAGUUUUAUUUCAUAAGCUUUUCCAACUCAGAAAACGGGAGCGGCUGGAGGUCAUGGUUUAGGAGUGCUUGAGCGAUGACGUGCUAAUGCAGAAGAAUGGAAACAGGGACAGGCGUGGGUGGGAAGGACACUCUCCCUGUCUCCUGCACAGCCAUUCUGCAGCCCAACAUGGCUGCUGUGUGGAUACAGCAGUUAGGAUUUUUUU
Molecule: long non-coding RNA, 786 nt
Filed under: Rattus norvegicus (Norway rat)
Lineage: Eukaryota; Metazoa; Chordata; Mammalia; Rodentia; Muridae
Description: long non-coding RNA NONRATT028365
Source: RNAcentral